AUGUAGGUUGUGCCAACCUCUAAGGGCCAAGCACGUGCACAUGAAUAUGGCAUUAAAUUCUUUGAAACGAGUGCAAAGACAAAUCUUAAUGUUGAGCAAGUCUUCUUUUCAAUAGCUAGGGAUAUAAAGCAAAGGCUCGCUGACACUGACUCCAGGGCAGAGCAGCCUCAAACUAUCAAAAUCAAUCAACCGGAGUAGGGGGCUGCAGAUGGUCAACUUGCGCAAAAAUUAGCUUGCUGCGGUUCUUAAACGAACAAGUUAUUGCAGGAGCAAUGGUAACGUAUUGGAGGCUGCUCUUCGGAGAAAACCAGAAUGA
Camellia sinensis is the source of this 316-nucleotide non-coding RNA. Lineage: Eukaryota; Viridiplantae; Streptophyta; Magnoliopsida; Ericales; Theaceae. The record is from RefSeq and is a predicted model, not a curated record.